CCUACGGGGGGCGGCAGUGGGGAAUAUUGUACAAUGGGGGGAACCCUGAUGCAGCGACGCCGCGUGAGUGAAGAAGGUCUUCGGAUCGUAAAACUCUGUCCUUGGUGAAGAUAAUGACGGUAGCCAAGGAGGAAGCCCCGGCUAACUACGUGCCAGCAGCCCCGGUC
Molecule: ribosomal RNA, 167 nt
Filed under: uncultured bacterium
Lineage: Bacteria
Description: partial 16S rRNA
Rfam family: Bacterial small subunit ribosomal RNA
Source: RNAcentral